RNAcentral lists this ribosomal RNA (482 nucleotides) under Cryptosporidium microti. Its description in RNAcentral is "SSU rRNA". It matches the Rfam family "Eukaryotic small subunit ribosomal RNA", at positions 514 to 1024 of the family's 1831-position model. The record is from RNAcentral. Lineage: Eukaryota; Apicomplexa; Conoidasida; Eucoccidiorida; Cryptosporidiidae.
AUGAGUUAAGUAUAAACCCCUUUACAAGUAUCAAUUGGAGGGCAAGUCUGGUGCCAGCAGCCGCGGUAAUUCCAGCUCCAAUAGCGUAUAUUAAAGUUGUUGCAGUUAAAAAGCUCGUAGUUGGAUUUCUGUUAAUAAUUUAUAUAUAAUAUUUUAUGAUAUUUAUAUAAUAUUAACAUAAUUCAUAUUACUAUAUUUAUUAGUAUAUGAAAUUUUACUUUGAGAAAAUUAGAGUGCUUAAAGCAGGCAUUUGCCUUGAAUACUCCAGCAUGGAAUAAUAUAAAAGAUUUUUAUCUUUUUUAUUGGUUCUAAGAUAAAAAUAAUGAUUAAUAGGGACAGUUGGGGGCAUUUGUAUCUAACAGUCAGAGGUGAAAUUCUUAGAUUUGUUAAAGACAGACUAGUGCGAAAGCAUUUGCCAAGGAUGUUUUCAUUAAUCAAGAACGAAAGUUAGGGGAUCGAAGACGAUCAGAUACCGUCGUAGU